RNAcentral lists this ribosomal RNA (502 nucleotides) under uncultured bacterium. RNAcentral describes it as "bacterial SSU rRNA". It matches the Rfam family "Bacterial small subunit ribosomal RNA", at positions 29 to 507 of the family's 1533-position model. The record is from RNAcentral.
AACAAACGCUGGCGGCGUGCCUAACACAUGCAAGUCGUACGAGAAAGUCGGCUUCGGCCGAUGAGUACAGUGGCGCGCGGGUGAGUAACGCGUGGGUAAUCUGCCCCCGGUCAGGAAUAACCCGCCGAAAGGCGGGCUAAUACCCGAUAACACUGACGCUCUGCGGAGUGUCUUUCAAAGAAGGCCUCUGUUUACAAGCUUUCGCCGGAGGAUGAGCCCGCGUACCAUUAGCUAGUUGGCAGGGUAAUGGCCUACCAAGGCAACGAUGGUUAGCUGGUCUGAGAGGAUGGCCAGCCACACUGGAACUGAGACACGGUCCAGACUCCUACGGGAGGCAGCAGUGAGGAAUCUUGCGCAAUGGGGGAAACCCUGACGCAGCAACGCCGCGUGAGUGAGGAAGGCCUUCGGGUCGUAAAGCUCUGUCAGAUGGGAAGAAAUGGGUGGGGGCUAAUAUCGUCCAUCCUUGACGGUACCAUCAGAGGAAGCACCGGCUAACUCCGUG